UUCUUUUCGUUUUUUGUCUUUGAGUAUUUCGCUGGAAGCCUGGAACUUAUCAUUGUGUGUCGUUUUCGUUUCCAACUCCUCUAAGGGCUUCCGUGUUCGUUGAUAAAUUUUUUGGAUUGCAGGUAGCCAGGUACAUCCAACUUUACAAAGCUGUAAAGUAUAUCACGAUAUAGAGAGACUAUCCACUUUCUGUUGAACCACUCUGCAACAAAUGAUGAACACAAUGGAGAGGAUUUUGGAGGGCCCCCUUGGUUAUAGCAGCAGUUCACCUUUGAAGGCUAGAGAAGUAGAAGUACUUGAAGAAAAAGCCAAAAUGAGAUGUUUUGGCCAGGUUUUGGUGAAACUUUUGCAGGGGGUGGCAGACAAAAAACACCAACUCCUAAAGCAUUCCACAAAAAGCAUAACUGUGGAGAUGAUCAGGAGGUGGGGUUCCUAGCGGCAUAGACAACCAUGUUCCUGCAAGAGCCUGUCAAAUCUGGCGGUAGAAAGUAGAAGCCGGGUUCACAUUUUUACUAAAGCUAUCAGUUGUAAUCAGGUCAUGAGUAAAAAGGGAUUGCCACUUCUGCAAUAUCCAAAACUAGGAUGAGCAAUGCUGAGAAUGCCAAUGGUGGCAAGAAGUUCAUAUAUAACAAAGGGGAAGGAAGCUCCAAGGUUUGCUUAACUAUGGAACCAAAUAAUUGCUAUAUAGUUUCAGAGAGGGAGAUAUGAUUAGUGAUAGGUAAUGCAAGGGAUAAUCUUAUGUUUAUGGGUUCAUGAUCCUUUUAGCUUGUUGGUGAUGUUAGGAGUUUCCAUAUCCUAACAAUUGGUCAGACUUUGCUGUUAGUUUCUCUCUUUCUCCCUCUCUCUGGCUUUUUGUAUUCUUUCUUAAUAUUUUGGUUAUUGAAAGUGUAUGCUCCUUAACUUCUGCUUCGAAUAAUUUCUAUUGCUUGUUUCUUCUGA
Lotus japonicus is the source of this 939-nucleotide long non-coding RNA. RefSeq lists it as uncharacterized. NCBI's taxonomy places the organism in Eukaryota, Viridiplantae, Streptophyta, Magnoliopsida, Fabales, Fabaceae. The transcript has 5 exons. The record is from RefSeq and is a predicted model, not a curated record.